Molecule: ribosomal RNA, 323 nt
Filed under: uncultured eukaryote
Lineage: Eukaryota
Description: partial 18S ribosomal RNA
Rfam family: Eukaryotic small subunit ribosomal RNA
Source: RNAcentral
CCCUUAGAUGUUCUGGGCUGCACGCGCGCUACACUGAUGCAUCCAGCGAGUUGUAACCUUGCUUGGUAAAGUUUGGUAAUCUGAGCCUAAUGUGCAUCGUGAUGGGAAUAGAGUUUUGCAACUAUUAGUCUUGAACGAGGAAUUCCUCGUAAGCACGAGUCAUCAGCUUGUGCUGAUUACGUCCCUGCCCUUUGUACACACCGCCCGUCGCACCUACCGAUUGAAUGGUCCGGUGAAAUCUCGGGACGGCGGCUUGGUCGCUUGCGUCCGACUGCUGAAACUUGAUUAAACCAUAUCAUUUAGAGGAAGGUGAANUCGUAACA